AUACUUACAUGGCAGGGGAGAUACAUGAUCAUGAAAGUGGUUUUCCCAGGUUGAGGCUCAUCCAUUGCACUUUGGAUGAGCCUCACCCUGUGAUUUCCCCAAAUGUGGGAAAAUCAACUGCAUAAUUUGUGGUAGUGGAGGACUGCAUUUGUGGUUUCCCCUG
RNAcentral lists this small nuclear RNA (163 nucleotides) under Pogona vitticeps (central bearded dragon). RNAcentral's name for it is "U1 spliceosomal RNA (ENSPVIG00000020230.1)". It matches the Rfam family "U1 spliceosomal RNA". Rfam says of the family: U1 is a small nuclear RNA (snRNA) component of the spliceosome (involved in pre-mRNA splicing). Its 5' end forms complementary base pairs with the 5' splice junction, thus defining the 5' donor site of an intron. Lineage: Eukaryota; Metazoa; Chordata; Lepidosauria; Squamata; Agamidae. The record is from Rfam by way of RNAcentral.